RNAcentral lists this ribosomal RNA (494 nucleotides) under uncultured bacterium. Its description in RNAcentral is "partial 16S ribosomal RNA". It matches the Rfam family "Bacterial small subunit ribosomal RNA", at positions 28 to 507 of the family's 1533-position model. The record is from RNAcentral.
GACGAACGCUGGCGGCGUGCUUAACACAUGCAAGUCGAACGGAAAGGCCUGCUUUCCCUUGUGGAUUGCGGGUGCUCGAGUGGCGAACGGGUGAGUAACACGUGAGUGAUCUGCCCCCAACUUGGGUAUAAGCCUGGGAAACUGGGUCUAAUUCCCGAUAGGACUGCAGGGUGGUGCCUGUGGUGGAAAACGAUUUUCUAGUGGUUGGGGAUGAGCUCGCGGCCUAUCAGCUUGUUGGUGGGGUAAUGGCCUACCAAGGCGGCGACGGGUAGCCGGCCUGAGAGGGUGGACGGCCACAUUGGGACUGAGAUACGGCCCAGACUCCUACGGGAGGCAGCAGUGGGGAAUAUUGGACGAUGGGCGGAAGCCUGAUGCAGCGACGCCGCGUGGGGGAUGACGGCCUUCGGGUUGUAAACUCCUUUCGACCGCGAGGAAGCCACCUGGUUGGAAGGGUGGUGACGGUAGUGGUAGAAGAAGCACCGGCUAACUACGUG